RNAcentral lists this long non-coding RNA (676 nucleotides) under Oryza brachyantha (malo sina). RNAcentral describes it as "long non-coding RNA (OBRA_LNC002817)". Lineage: Eukaryota; Viridiplantae; Streptophyta; Magnoliopsida; Poales; Poaceae. The record is from RNAcentral.
CGGCGUAGCGAGGGGCCAUGGAGACGAGGUGGGACUCGAGGCGCUUGCGAGGAGGACGUGCAGGUGCCGGUGAUGGUGGUAUAGGAGAAGGAUAGAGGUUUGAGGCGGAGGUGAGGGACGAGGCGGCCGGGGGUGGGGCAGCCGAGGCAAGAGAGGAGCCAGUGCGAGUGGAAGUUGAGUAGCGGCGGCGGCAUGGAGACCGUGGUGACUGGCGAAUAGUGAGGCCCCGUCCGGCUAGCUAUUAACUUAUCAAUUUUCUACGCACUUCUCGAGCUAUAAAACGGUAUUUUUUAAAAAAAGUUCUAUAAAAAGUUUCUUUAAAAAAUCAUAUUAAUCUAGUAUUUUCUUAGGUUGGAUUGAAUUCAUUUGAGGAUUAUAGUUGGUAGAAAGAUUUAAAUGAUAUACUUCUCUUUAUCUAUGAUUCAAAGCAAGUUCUAACUGCUAAGAAGAGGUACUGUCAGAAAGGGAAUAAAAAAAAAAGAGACUAACCAGUUCUUCUUGUUCUUGUAAUCAAAAUCAAGAAAGGGGAAAAAGAAUUGAAGCCAGACGGCCAGCAACUCCACGGCUCCGCGUCGAUCUCACCGGUCGUCGCCUUUCGCCGCGCGCCCAAUCGCCUCCCGCUGACCGCGGCCUACCCUCGCGCGCCGCGCGCUUGCGCCGCCCCCGAACCCCACGU